UACGUAGGGUGCGAGCGUUGUCCGGAAUUAUUGGGCGUAAAGGGCUCGUAGGCGGUCUGUCGCGUCGGGAGUGAAAACUCAGGGCUUAACCCUGAGCCUGCUUCCGAUACGGGCAGACUAGAGGUAUGCAGGGGAGAACGGAAUUCCUGGUGUAGCGGUGAAAUGCGCAGAUAUCAGGAGGAACACCGGUGGCGAAGGCGGUUCUCUGGGCAUUACCUGACGCUGAGGCGCGAAAGCCAGGGGAGCAAACGGG
Molecule: ribosomal RNA, 253 nt
Filed under: uncultured bacterium
Lineage: Bacteria
Description: partial 16S ribosomal RNA
Rfam family: Bacterial small subunit ribosomal RNA
Source: RNAcentral